CCUACGGGAGGCAGCAGUGAGGAAUAUUGGUCAAUGGACGAGAGUCUGAACCAGCCAAGUAGCGUGAAGGAUGACUGCCCUAUGGGUUGUAAACUUCUUUUAUAUGGGAAUAAAAUGUUCCACGUGUGGGAUUUUGUAUGUACCAUAUGAAUAAGGAUCGGCUAACUCCGUGCCAGCAGCCGCGGUAAUACGGAGGAUCCGAGCGUUAUCCGGAUUUAUUGGGUUUAAAGGGAGCGUAGGUGGAUUGUUAAGUCAGUUGUGAAAGUUUGCGGCUCAACCGUAAAAUUGCAGUUGAUACUGGCAGUCUUGAGUACAGUAGAGGUGGGCGGAAUUCGUGGUGUAGCGGUGAAAUGCUUAGAUAUCACGAAGAACUCCGAUUGCGAAGGCAGUUCACUAGACUGCAACUGACACUGAGGCUCGAAAGUGUGGGUAUCAAACAGGAUUAGAUACCCUAGUAGUC
Molecule: ribosomal RNA, 460 nt
Filed under: uncultured bacterium
Lineage: Bacteria
Description: partial 16S ribosomal RNA
Rfam family: Bacterial small subunit ribosomal RNA
Source: RNAcentral